This 583-nucleotide ribosomal RNA is filed under the name bacterium FYS1D. RNAcentral's name for it is "bacterial SSU rRNA". It matches the Rfam family "Bacterial small subunit ribosomal RNA", at positions 337 to 909 of the family's 1533-position model. The record is from RNAcentral.
UCCUACGGGGGGGGCAGCAGUGGGGAAUAUUGGACAAUGGGGGCAAGCCUGAUCCAGCCAUACCGCGUGGGUGAAGAAGGCCUUCGGGUUGUAAAGCCCUUUUGUUGGGAAAGAAAUCCAGCUGGCUAAUACCCGGUUGGGAUGACGGUACCCAAAGAAUAAGCACCGGCUAACUUCGUGCCAGCAGCCGCGGUAAUACGAAGGGUGCAAGCGUUACUCGGAAUUACUGGGCGUAAAGCGUGCGUAGGUGGUCGUUUAAGUCCGUUGUGAAAGCCCUGGGCUCAACCUGGGAACUGCAGUGGAUACUGGGCGACUAGAAUGUGGUAGAGGGUAGCGGAAUUCCUGGUGUAGCAGUGAAAUGCGUAGAGAUCAGGAGGAACAUCCAUGGAGAAGGCAGCUACCUGGACCAACAUUGACACUGAGGCACGAAAGCGUGGGGAGCAAACAGGAUUAGAUACCCUGGUAGUCCACGCCCUAAACGAUGCGAACUGGAUGUUGGGUGCAAUUUGGCACGCAGUAUCGAAGCUAACGCGUUAAGUUCGCCGCCCGGGGAGUACGGUCGCAAGACUGAAACUCAAAGGAA